This 442-nucleotide ribosomal RNA is filed under the name uncultured bacterium. RNAcentral describes it as "partial 16S ribosomal RNA". It matches the Rfam family "Bacterial small subunit ribosomal RNA", at positions 338 to 795 of the family's 1533-position model. The record is from RNAcentral.
CCUACGGGAGGCAGCAGUGGGGAAUAUUGGGCAAUGGGCGCAAGCCUGACCCAGCAACGCCGCGUGAAGGAAGAAGGCUUUCGGGUUGUAAACUUCUUUUAAGGGGGAAGAGCAGAAGACGGUACCCCUUGAAUAAUCCACGGCUAACUACGUGCCAGCAGCCGCGGUAAUACGUAGGUGGCAAGCGUUGUCCGGAUUUACUGGGUGUAAAGGGCGUGCAGCCGGAGAGACAAGUCAGAUGUGAAAUCCACGGGCUCAACCCGUGAACUGCAUUUGAAACUGUUUCCCUUGAGUGUCGGAGAGGUAAUCGGAAUUCCUUGUGUAGCGGUGAAAUGCGUAGAUAUAAGGAAGAACACCAGUGGCGAAGGCGGAUUACUGGACGAUAACUGACGGUGAGGCGCGAAAGCGUGGGGAGCAAACAGGAUUAGAUACCCCUGUAGUC